CAGUCGCCACGGUAAUACGAAGGGUGCAAGCGUUAAUCGGAAUUACUGGGCGUAAAGCGUGCGUAGGCGGUGAGUUAAGUCUGCUGUGAAAUCCCCGGGCCCAACCUGGGAAUGGCAGUGGAUACUGGCUCGCUAGAGUGUGUCAGAGGAUGGUGGAAUUCCCGGUGUAGCGGUGAAAUGCGUAGAGAUCGGGAGGAACAUCAGUGGCGAAGGCGGCCAUCUGGGACAACACUGACGCUGAGGCACGAAAGCGUGGGGAGCAAACAGGAUUAGAUACCCCCGUAGUCCCUGUCUCUUAUAC
This 301-nucleotide ribosomal RNA is filed under the name uncultured bacterium. Its description in RNAcentral is "partial 16S ribosomal RNA". It matches the Rfam family "Bacterial small subunit ribosomal RNA", at positions 509 to 807 of the family's 1533-position model. The record is from RNAcentral.